This 413-nucleotide ribosomal RNA is filed under the name uncultured bacterium. RNAcentral describes it as "bacterial SSU rRNA". It matches the Rfam family "Bacterial small subunit ribosomal RNA", at positions 505 to 916 of the family's 1533-position model. The record is from RNAcentral.
GUGUCAGCCGCCGCGGUAAUACGUAGGUGGCAAGCGUUAUCCGGAAUUAUUGGGCGUAAAGCGCGCGCAGGUGGUUUCUUAAGUCUGAUGUGAAAGCCCACGGCUCAACCGUGGAGGGUCAUUGGAAACUGGGAGACUUGAGUGCAGAAGAGGAAAGUGGAAUUCCAUGUGUAGCGGUGAAAUGCGUAGAGAUAUGGAGGAACACCAGUGGCGAAGGCGACUUUCUGGUCUGUAACUGACACUGAGGCGCGAAAGCGUGGGGAGCAAACAGGAUUAGAUACCCUGGUAGUCCACGCCGUAAACGAUGAGUGCUAAGUGUUAGAGGGUUUCCGCCCUUUAGUGCUGAAGUUAACGCAUUAAGCACUCCGCCUGGGGAGUACGGCCGCAAGGCUGAAACUCAAAGGAAUUGACGG